ACGAAGGGUGCAAGCGUUGCUCGGAAUUAUUGGGCGUAAAGGGCAGGUAGGUGGUCCUAUUUGUCAGAGGUGAAAGCCCCGAGCUUAACUCGGGAAGUGCCUCUGAAACGGUAGGACUAGAGUAUUGGAGAGGGUCGUGGAAUUCCCGGUGUAGCGGUGAAAUGCGUAGAGAUCGGGAGGAACACCAGAGGCGAAGGCGGCGACCUGGACAAUAACUGACACUCAACUGCGAAAGCGUGGGGAGCAAACAGGAUUAGAUACCCUGGUAGUCCACGCUGUAAACGAUGGGCACUCGAUUUGGUGGGUCUUGACCCCUGCCGAGUCUGAGCUAACGCGAUAAGUGCCCCGCCUGGGAAGUACGGUCGCAAGACUA
Molecule: ribosomal RNA, 373 nt
Filed under: uncultured bacterium
Lineage: Bacteria
Description: bacterial SSU rRNA
Rfam family: Bacterial small subunit ribosomal RNA
Source: RNAcentral